RNAcentral lists this ribosomal RNA (424 nucleotides) under uncultured bacterium. RNAcentral's name for it is "partial 16S ribosomal RNA". It matches the Rfam family "Bacterial small subunit ribosomal RNA", at positions 360 to 776 of the family's 1533-position model. The record is from RNAcentral.
AAUCUUCCGCAAUGGCCGAAAGUCUGACGGAGCAACGCCGCUUGAUCUAUUAAUGCCUUCGGUUCGAAAAGCUCUUUUGUUAGGGAAGAACAAGUAGCGGAGUUACUGCCGGUACCGUGACGGUACCUAACCAGAAAUCCACGGCUUACUACGUGCCAGCAUCCGCGGUAAUACUUAGGUGGCAAGCCGUGCACGGAAUUAUUGGGCGUAAAGCGCGCGCAGGCGGUCAUUUAAGUCUGAUGUGAAAGCCCACGGCUCAACCGUGGAGGGUCAUUGGAAACUGGGGGACUUGAGUGCAGAAGAGGAAAGCGGAAUUCCACGUGUAGCGGUGAAAUGCGUAGAGAUGUGGAGGAACACCAGUGGCGAAGGCGGCUUUCUGGUCUGUAACUGACGCUGAGGCGCGAAAGCGUGGGGAGCAAACAGG